RNAcentral lists this ribosomal RNA (200 nucleotides) under uncultured bacterium. RNAcentral's name for it is "partial 16S ribosomal RNA". It matches the Rfam family "Bacterial small subunit ribosomal RNA", at positions 328 to 539 of the family's 1533-position model. The record is from RNAcentral.
ACGCUCGACACCUACGGGAGCAGCAGUGGGGAAUAUUGGGCAAUGGGCGAAAGCCUGACCCAGCAACGCCGCGUGAGGGAAGAAGGUUUUCGGAUUGUAAACCUCUGUCCUCAGGGACGAAGGACGUGACGGUACCUGAGGAGGAAGCCCCGGCUAACUACGUGCCAGCAGCCGCGGUAAUCUGAGCGGGCUGGCAAGGC